UGGGGAAUAUUGGACAAUGGGGGCAACCCUGAUCCAGCAAUGCCGCGUGUGUGAAGAAGGCCUUCGGGUUGUAAAGCACUUUUAGUGGGAAAGAAAUCUUUCAUGUUAAUACCAUGGAGGCUUGACGUUACCCAAAGAAAAAGCACCGGCUAACUCUGUGCCAGCAGCCGCGGUAAUACAGAGGGUGCAAGCGUUAAUCGGAAUUACUGGGCGUAAAGCGUACGUAGGUGGUUAUGUAAGUCAGAUGUGAAAUCCCCGGGCUUAACCUGGGAACUGCAUUUGAAACUGCAUGACUAGAGUAGGAUAGAGGAAAGUGGAAUUUCCGGUGUAGCGGUGAAAUGCGUAGAGAUCGGAAGGAACACCAGUGGCGAAGGCGGCUUUCUGGAUUCAUACUGACACUGAGGUACGAAAGCGUGGGGAGCAAACAGG
This 429-nucleotide ribosomal RNA is filed under the name uncultured bacterium. RNAcentral's name for it is "bacterial SSU rRNA". It matches the Rfam family "Bacterial small subunit ribosomal RNA", at positions 355 to 776 of the family's 1533-position model. The record is from RNAcentral.